GGAAGGGUGGCCGAGUGGUUUAAGGCACCGGUCUUGAAAACCGGCAGUGGGGUAACUCACUCGUGGGUUCGAAUCCCACCCCUUCCGCCA
RNAcentral lists this transfer RNA (90 nucleotides) under Bradyrhizobiaceae bacterium. RNAcentral describes it as "tRNA-Ser". It matches the Rfam family "tRNA". Rfam says of the family: Transfer RNA (tRNA) molecules are approximately 80 nucleotides in length. The record is from RNAcentral. Lineage: Bacteria; Pseudomonadati; Pseudomonadota; Alphaproteobacteria; Hyphomicrobiales; Nitrobacteraceae.